Molecule: ribosomal RNA, 264 nt
Filed under: uncultured bacterium
Lineage: Bacteria
Description: partial 16S ribosomal RNA
Rfam family: Bacterial small subunit ribosomal RNA
Source: RNAcentral
GAAUGAACGCUGGCGGCGCGCCUAAUACAUGCAAGUCGAGCGAGAAGACGUAGCAAUACGUUUGUAAAGCGGCGAACGGGUGAGGAAUACAUGGGUAACCUACCCUCGAGUGGGGAAUAACUAGCCGAAGGUUAGCUAAUACCGCGUACGCUUCUUGGACUUCGGUUCUAGGGAGGAAAGCGUAUGCCGAGGGUAUCGCGCUCUUGGAUGGGCUCAUGGUCCUAUCAGCUUGUUGGNGAGGUAACGGCUCACCAAGGCUUCGAC